RNAcentral lists this ribosomal RNA (402 nucleotides) under bacterium. Its description in RNAcentral is "partial 16S ribosomal RNA". It matches the Rfam family "Bacterial small subunit ribosomal RNA", at positions 355 to 776 of the family's 1533-position model. The record is from RNAcentral.
UGGGGAAUUUUGCACAAUGGGGGAAACCCUGAUGCAGCGACGCCGCGUGAUUUAGAAGGCCUUCGGGUUGUAAAAAUCUUUUUUACGGGAUGAAAAUGACAGUACCGUAAGAAUAAGGUCCGGCUAAAUACGUGCCAGCAGCCGCGGUAAUACGUAUGGACCGAGCGUUGUCCGGAAUCAUUGGGCGUAAAGGGUACGUAGGCGGCCUAAUAAGUUAGAAGUGAAAGAAUAUAGCUCAACUAUAUAAAGCUUUUAAAACUGUUAGGCUUGAGAGAUGAAAGGGAAAGUGGAAUUCCUAGUGUAGCGGUGAAAUGCGCAGAUAUUAGGAAGAAUACCGGUGGCGAAGGCGACUUUCUGGUCAUCAUCUGACGAUGAGGUACGAAAGCGUGGGUAGCAAACAGG